Molecule: ribosomal RNA, 253 nt
Filed under: uncultured bacterium
Lineage: Bacteria
Description: partial 16S ribosomal RNA
Rfam family: Bacterial small subunit ribosomal RNA
Source: RNAcentral
UACGUAGGUGACCAGCGUUGUCCGGAUUUACUGGGCGUAAAGAGCUCGUAGGCGGUUCGUCGCGUCGGCUGUGAAAACCUGAGGCUCAACCUCAGGCCUGCAGUCGAUACGGGCGGACUUGAGUACUGCAGGGGAGACUGGAAUUCCUGGUGUAGCGGUGAAAUGCGCAGAUAUCAGGAGGAACACCGGUGGCGAAGGCGGGUCUCUGGGCAGUAACUGACGCUGAGGAGCGAAAGCGUGGGGAGCGAGCAGG